ACUUUUCUAGUAUAACCAGUACAGAUGACUUCCACUCAUCUAGCCUUGAAUAGCUCAAGGAAAAGUA
RNAcentral lists this transfer RNA (67 nucleotides) under Diplometopon zarudnyi. RNAcentral describes it as "tRNA-Gly". Lineage: Eukaryota; Metazoa; Chordata; Lepidosauria; Squamata; Trogonophidae. The record is from RNAcentral.